This 86-nucleotide transfer RNA is filed under the name Anoxybacter fermentans. Its description in RNAcentral is "tRNA-Tyr". It matches the Rfam family "tRNA". Rfam says of the family: Transfer RNA (tRNA) molecules are approximately 80 nucleotides in length. Their secondary structure includes four short double-helical elements and three loops (D, anti-codon, and T loops). The record is from RNAcentral. Lineage: Bacteria; Bacillati; Bacillota; Clostridia; Halanaerobiales.
GGAGGGAUGCCCGAGUGGCCAAAGGGAGCAGACUGUAAAUCUGCCGGCACUUGCCUACAGUGGUUCGAAUCCACUUCCCUCCACCA